CCUAAAUAAAAUAACACGUUUUUGGUACGACAUUUUACAGAAAAUGCAUGGACAUAUUUGUGUUUGUAGCCUAAUUUAUUAACGAAUGUUUAUUUUUUAUUGAACAAAAGUUACAGCACUUUACAAAACUCACUAUAGAAGUAGAAACCCAUUUAAUUGUAUAUCUUGUAUAACUAGAUCCAGAAUAAUAGCCUCCUUAUCCAGUCUAUAAGUUAGAUUCUAUUGACCUUGUUUUUUAAAAGUCGAAACUACUAUUGCAAUGUCACUCUGCAGACGUCGUAUCUCAUUUGCAGCAUAGGCUACGAGAUUGAGUUCAUUUCACCCAGACUUUCUAUUUAUAGUAGGCCUAUAAAUUGUGGAACCCGUUGACCAUCAUAUUUCAUUGCAUCGUUUUCAUUUUAUCUCAAUGAUAAUAGGCCAUAUCAAUACUUAUAUUAAGGUUUUAUUAUUUCCAUAAAUAAUAAUAAAAUCAUACUUUGAGAUGGGCGAGUGGAAACGUCAGGACUGAUGGAUGACACGAUGAACUCUGCCUCAAGCGGCGCUGCGGUUUUUACAGUGGCAGCAUCAGACAAUAGCACAGCGAGGCUGCAUCGGGCACCCUCGCCGACCAAAAGCCGGGAAUGCGCCCCAAAACCGGCCCAGAAAUCCUCCAGUAGAUCCAAAAGUAUAGUUUCCAAAGGAGGAUCGAGGAAUAAGGUGGGAAACGAGGUGCUUAGGACCGCUGUCGUGAGGGAGAAGGAGAUUGAGAAAUGCGACGUGGAAGCUUUUCACUCGGAUGGUGCUGAAACCGAUGCUGUCAAUUGCAAUGCAAAGAAGGCGGAUUCUAGCAGAGAGGAAGGUACGGAGGAGAUAUUUCACCAGCCGAUAGAUUCUCAAACCCGUCGUUCCUCGUUACGUUUAUCCUGCCUCAAAGGCGAGUCUUCCCAACAUAUUGGGUCAUACCGGCCAGACGGCUCCAGCACGGCGGGUUCGGUGAAAGGGAAAGCGAAGGCGCGGGGAGGGGAGGCAGUGACAGCAUCAGCAGGCUGCCGCAGGAAUAGAAGCGGGGAAUACGUGGGCUGCGUGCCGGGCCUUGGUCUGUGGAGCGGGGGUUGCUUGCAGACUGAACUCAUCCACUUCCACCUACAUAAGAAACUGAAGAAAAGCGGCAGUAAGAUGCACACCAAGGCAGAAAGGGCUCCGGGCGCGGAGGCCUCGGCCGAGACGGAACCGGCUACAGAGGCCAUAGAGGCGGAGCCGGUGACACAGCAAGACGAGGGCCCGGAGGACGAGCUGGAGAGACUGGUGGAUGAGAAUGAAGAUCUCAAGACGGAGAUCGAGGAGAUGAGGACGGAGAUGGACGAGAUGCGUGACACUUUCUACGAGGAGGACACGUGCCAGCUGCAGGAAAUGAGGCGUGAACUGGAGCGAGCCAAUAAGAACUGCCGGAUCCUCCAGUACCGGCUGAGGAAGGCUGAGAGGAAGAAGCUGCGCUAUGCCCAGACAGGAGAGAUUGACGAGGAACUACUGAGGAGCCUGGAGCAGGACCUGAAGGUAGCGAAGGAUGUGUCUGUGAGGCUCCACCAUGAGCUGGAGAAUGUGGAGGAGAAACGUACAAAGACAGAGGACGAGAAUGAGAAACUGAGGCAGAAACUCAUUGAGGUGGAGGUGACCAAACAGGCCCUUCAGAAUGAGCUAGACAAAGUCAAGGAGUCACAGAAGAGAAGAGGAAGCAAGGAGGUUCAGCGGUCUGACAAGAAGUCUGCCCAGACCCCAACAGAGGACCACAAUGAGGACCUCAAGUGCCAGCUUGCUUUCAUCAAGGAGGAGGCAGUGUUGAUGAGGAAGAAGACAGCUAAGAUCGACAAGGAAAAGGACCGUCUGGAGGCGGAGCUACAGAAGUACCGCUCCUUCUACGGGGAUCUAGACAGCCCCCACCCCAAGGGUGAGGCCGGGGGAACCCCCAGCACCCGUGAGUCCGAGCUGAAGCUGCGUCUGCGUCUGGUGGAGGAGGAGGCUAACAUCCUAGGGAGAAAGAUUGUGGAGCUGGAGGUGGAGAACCGGGGACUGAGGGCCGAGCUGGACGACCUCAGGGGAGAAGGGGAGGGAGAAGAGGGGUCCGGUGGCGGGGCUGUGGGCAGGGUAGGGGUGGGCCGGGGCCAUGGGGAGGCCAUGACAGAGCUGAGGCAGCAGCUGCAGCUGGUGGAGGACGAGGCAGAGUUACUGAGGAGGAACCUGGCAGACGCUGAGGAUCACAACAAGAGGGUGAUGGGAGAACUCAACAAGCUCAGGUUUAAGGCUGGGACCCACGAGGGAGGAGCGAGGCAUGGAGGAGGGGUGGCAGGAGGAGGUGGACUAAGCACAGAGAAGGCAGAUGCACUGCAGGAAGAACUGAAGACGGCCCGGCUACAGAUUAAUGAUCUCAGUGGGAAGGUGAUGCAGCUGCAGUAUGAGAACCGUGUUCUGCUCUCCAACAUGCAGCGCUACGACCUGGCCUCCCACCUGGCCCUGAGGGGGUGCACAAGCCCCCGGGACAGCGAUGCGGACAGUGACGCGGGUGGGACCGGUCCAACCGUGCAGCGCGAGAGUGAUGAUGACUCCUCCUCCUCCCGCAUCCUGCCCCCGCACCGCAAACGCGAGGGCCCAGUGGGCGGGGAAAGUGACUCAGAUGAGGUGCGGAACCAAACCCGCUGCCUCACACCCACCCGAGGUCUCUACACACCACCCCCAGAGGUCGCCGCCCGCUUCCUGCCCCGCAGCCCACGGGAUCGCCAGCAGAUGAUCGACAUCCGGGUGGAGGCGGAGCGUCUUGGCAGGACCAUCGACCGGUUAAUUGCCGACACAGCAACCAUCAUCGCAGAGGCGCGGGUGUACGUUUCCAAUGGUGACCUGUACGGGCGAGGCAGCGGGGGUGAGGAGGAGGAGGAGGGGGGUAGGAUCAGGGAGCAUGAGCUGCUGUACAGGAUCAAUGCCCAGAUGAAGGCCUUCAGGAAGGAGCUACAGGGCUUCAUAGACAGACUGGAGGUGCCCAAACCUGAGGACAGGGAGGAGGAACCACUUUCGCAUAGCCACAUCCUUUGUUUGUUUGUUUCUGUUGAUGUUUACAUUGGUUGUCAAGGUCAAUGCACAGGAGCCUCCCUAUUCAAGCACAGGCCACAGUCACAUAACUGGAUUUACAGUAUGCUUAUGUUCAACACUGGAGACUACAUUACCCACUACCCACCACUUCCUUCAUCACCCCCAAGUAAAGGUGAGUUAGCUAAUGACACCUGUUUUGCCCAAUUCCAAAAUCAAACCCAUUAGCCAUGAAGGUAGGCCACCACAUCAGGUAGCCUAGUAGAUACGAAUUUUAAACAAACAUAAUAGUGACAAUGCAGCUGAAUGGUGUUUGCCCCUAACAACAUCUUAUUUUGUAACAGAUUGUGACAGUGCUGUGUUGUAGUCUUUUUCAGCUUUAGCCUAUAGGUCUACAUUAAUCAACGAGUAUGCUGCUUUUACCUCAAAAAGUUUUCCUCCAACAUUUCCACACGUUGGUGACCCCAUCAAGACAGAAAGACACUAGGAAGUUGAAACAGAAAAAGAGAGGAAGUUU
Molecule: RNA transcript, 3571 nt
Organism: Oncorhynchus gorbuscha (pink salmon)
Lineage: Eukaryota; Metazoa; Chordata; Actinopteri; Salmoniformes; Salmonidae
Gene name: protein SOGA3-like
Exons: 9
Source: RefSeq, a predicted model, not a curated record